RNAcentral lists this ribosomal RNA (373 nucleotides) under uncultured organism. RNAcentral describes it as "bacterial SSU rRNA". It matches the Rfam family "Bacterial small subunit ribosomal RNA", at positions 526 to 896 of the family's 1533-position model. The record is from RNAcentral.
CAGAGGGUGCGAGCGUUGUUCGGAAUUACUGGGCGUAAAGCGCGCGCAGGCGGCCCUUUAAGUCCGUCGGUCAAAUGCCGGGGCUCAACCCCGAGCGUGCCGAGGAUACUGGAGGGCUGGAGACACGUAGAGGCAAGCGGAAUUCCGGGUGUAGCGGUGGAAUGCGUAGAGAUCCGGAAGAACACCGGAGGCGAAGGCGGCUUGCUGGGCGUGAUCUGACGCUGAGGCGCGAAAGCGUGGGGAGCGAACAGGAUUAGAUACCCUGGUAGUCCACGCCGUAAACGAUGGGCACUAGACGCUGGGGGGAUCGACCCUCUCGGUGUCGCAGCUAACGCGAUAAGUGCCCCGCCUGGGGAGUACGGCCGCAAGGUUA